UAGGGAAUCUUCGGCAAUGGGGGGAACCCUGACCGAGCAACGCCGCGUGAGUGAAGAAGGUUUUCGGAUCGUAAAGCUCUGUUGUUAAGGAAGAACGAGUGUGAGAAUGGAAAGUUCAUACUGUGACGGUACUUAACCAGAAAGGGACGGCUAACUACGUGCCAGCAGCCGCGGUAAUACGUAGGUCCCGAGCGUUGUCCGGAUUUAUUGGGAGUAAAGCGAGCGCAGGCGGUUAGAUAAGUCUGAAGUUAAAGGCAGUGGCUCAACCAUUGUAGGCUUUGGAAACUGUUUAACUUGAGUGCAGAAGGGGAGAGUGGAAUUCCAUGUGUAGCGGUGAAAUGCGUAGAUAUAUGGAGAAACACCGGUGGCGAAAGCGGCUCUCUGGUCUGUAACUGACGCUGAGGCUCGAAAGCGUAGGGAGCGAACAGG
This 429-nucleotide ribosomal RNA is filed under the name Bacteroidota bacterium. Its description in RNAcentral is "Bacteroidetes bacterium partial 16S ribosomal RNA". It matches the Rfam family "Bacterial small subunit ribosomal RNA", at positions 355 to 776 of the family's 1533-position model. The record is from RNAcentral. Lineage: Bacteria; Pseudomonadati; Bacteroidota.